This 597-nucleotide ribosomal RNA is filed under the name uncultured bacterium. RNAcentral describes it as "bacterial SSU rRNA". It matches the Rfam family "Bacterial small subunit ribosomal RNA", at positions 254 to 842 of the family's 1533-position model. The record is from RNAcentral.
AGGGUAAAGGCUUACCAAGGCAAUGAUGCGUAGCCGAAUUGAGAGGUUGAUCGGCCACAUUGGGACUGAGACACGGCCCAAACUCCUACGGGAGGCAGCAGUAGGGAAUCUUCCACAAUGGGCGAAAGCCUGAUGGAGCAACGCCGCGUGGGUGAAGAAGGUCUUCGGAUCGUAAAACCCUGUUGUUAGAGAAGAAAGUGCGUGAGAGUAACUGUUCACGUUUCGACGGUAUCUAACCAGAAAGCCACGGCUAACUACGUGCCAGCAGCCGCGGUAAUACGUAGGUGGCAAGCGUUAUCCGGAUUUAUUGGGCGUAAAGGGAACGCAGGCGGUCUUUUAAGUCUGAUGUGAAAGCCUUCGGCUUAACCGGAGUAGUGCAUUGGAAACUGGGAGACUUGAGUGCAGAAGAGGAGAGUGGAACUCCAUGUGUAGCGGUGAAAUGCGUAGAUAUAUGGAAGAACACCAGUGGCGAAAGCGGCUCUCUGGUCUGUAACUGACGCUGAGGUUCGAAAGCGUGGGUAGCAAACAGGAUUAGAUACCCUGGUAGUCCACGCCGUAAACGAUGAAUGCUAAGUGUUGGAGGGUUUCCGCCCUUCA